UGGGGAAUAUUGCACAAUGGAGGGAACUCUGAUGCAGCGACGCCGCGUGAACGAAGAAGGCUUUCGAGUCGUAAAGUUCUUUUAUAUGGGAAGAUAAUGACGGUACCAUCAGAAAAAGCCCCGGCUAACUACGUGCCAGCAGCCGCGGUAAUACGUAGGGGGCUAGCGUUGUCCGGAAUCACUGGGCGUAAAGGGUUCGCAGGCGGAAAUGCAAGUCAGGUGUAAAAGGCAGUAGCUUAACUACUGUAAGCAUUUGAAACUGCAUAUCUUGAGAAGAGUAGAGGUAAGUGGAAUUGUUAGUGUAGCGGUGAAAUGCGUAGAUAUUAAAAAGAAUACCGGUGGCGAAGGCGACUUACUGGGCUCAUUCUGACGCUGAGGAACGAAAGCGUGGGUAGCAAACAGG
Molecule: ribosomal RNA, 403 nt
Filed under: bacterium
Lineage: Bacteria
Description: partial 16S ribosomal RNA
Rfam family: Bacterial small subunit ribosomal RNA
Source: RNAcentral